Molecule: long non-coding RNA, 576 nt
Filed under: Citrus sinensis (sweet orange)
Lineage: Eukaryota; Viridiplantae; Streptophyta; Magnoliopsida; Sapindales; Rutaceae
Description: long non-coding RNA (CSIN_LNC005451)
Source: RNAcentral
GUGCUACGUAUAUUUAAUAGUCUUCUGUAAUAAUAAAAAAAGAAAAAGGUUGAUUGAAAAAUUAAAGAGAUUUGAUGUGUAUUUAUCUAAUUAUCAAUCAUUAAAUUCAUUCCAUUUUACGUUUAACAGACUUUCACAGAAUUUUAUUUCCAUUCCACAGUCCAUACCCAACUCUUUCCUAUAUAUAAAUCCUCCAUUCCGUUCUUUUGUUAAUCCCAAAAUCCUUCGCACCUCUCCGACUCCAAGGCUCCACGAGUGCGUCAUCUCCAAAAUACUGAAACAAGUUAAAUAUUUUAUUUUACUCGAUAUCACUGCUUUAAAAAUAGAGUUGAUUUUUUUUUUUCAAUAAUAAGCGUAUAUCUGUUUAUUUAUGCUCAACGACCAAAAAAACAAUGACAAGCUCCAGAAAAAGGAGUCCCUAACAAGGCAAGCAACGAAAAAAAAGGUUAAAAAGCUGAACUAAAACAUUUAUGUUAUAAAAUAAAUAAAUAACAGAAAAAUUUUGAAUUAAACAAAGUACUUAAAAAGUACCUUAUUGCUAAGCUUAUUAGUGAUAAGCUUUUGAAUUUUAUUAUC